RNAcentral lists this non-coding RNA (338 nucleotides) under Paenibacillus larvae subsp. larvae. RNAcentral's name for it is "Group I intron". It matches the Rfam family "Group I catalytic intron". Rfam says of the family: Group I catalytic introns are large self-splicing ribozymes. They catalyse their own excision from mRNA, tRNA and rRNA precursors in a wide range of organisms. Lineage: Bacteria; Bacillati; Bacillota; Bacilli; Caryophanales; Paenibacillaceae. The record is from RNAcentral.
GUAAGCGUAUAGAGAAAUCUGUACGUAGAGAUAGUUGAACAUACUAUCCUAUAUACCACUUUAAUUGCUGGGAAGCCCUAAAGCUAACUAAACGACAACGUGAGGAUGAAAAAUGCCUGAGCGUGAACGUGACGAAAGUAAAAAGAAUUAGUUAGAUGGCAUAUGGUUAAAUCCUAAGUGUUCUACACAAUGGGCAAUCAGCAGCUAAGGCUUGAAUAGAGCAAAGUUCAACGACUAUCCCUCUUGAGGGGAGUAGGUAGAAGUCUACCGAAGUGGGUGGCUCCUAACAGGUAAAGCUGAGGAAGAAGAUAUAGUCUGUGCUUGCGUGAAAGUGUAAG